Molecule: ribosomal RNA, 599 nt
Filed under: uncultured bacterium
Lineage: Bacteria
Description: partial 16S ribosomal RNA
Rfam family: Bacterial small subunit ribosomal RNA
Source: RNAcentral
UGGGGAAUAUUGCACAAUGGGCGCAAGCCUGAUGCAGCCAUGCCGCGUGUGUGAAGAAGGCCUUCGGGUUGUAAAGCACUUUCAGCGAGGAGGAAGGUGGUGAGCUUAAUACGCUCAUCAAUUGACGUUACUCGCAGAAGAAGCACCGGCUAACUCCGUGCCAGCAGCCGCGGUAAUACGGAGGGUGCAAAGCGUUAAUCGGAAUUACUGGGCGUAAAAGCGCACGCAGGCGGUUUGUUAAGUCAGAUGUGAAAAUCCCCGGGCUCAACCUGGGAACUGCAUUUGAAAACUGGCAAGCUAGAGUCUCGUAGAGGGGGGUAGAAAUUCCAGGUGUAGCGGUGAAAAUGCGUAGAGAUCUGGAGGAAUACCGGUGGCGAAAGGCGGCCCCCUGGACGAAGACUGACGCUCAGGUGCGAAAAGCGUGGGGAGCAAAACAGGAUUAGAUACCCUGGUAGUCCACGCCCUAAAACGAUGUCAACUAGUUGUUGGGGAUUCAUUUCCUUAGUAACGUAGCUAAACGCGUGAAGUUGACCGCCUGGGGAGUACGGUCGCAAAGAUUAAAAACUUAAAGGAAUUGAACGGGGUCAUAGCUGUUUCCU